UAGGGAAUCUUCCACAAUGGACGCAAGUCUGAUGGAGCAACGCCGCGUGAGUGAAGAAGGUCUUCGGAUCGUAAAGCUCUGUUGUUGGUGAAGAAGGAUAGAGGCAGUAACUGGUCUUUAUUUGACGGUAAUCAACCAGAAAGUCACGGCUAACUACGUGCCAGCAGCCGCGGUAAUACGUAGGUGGCAAGCGUUGUCCGGAUUUAUUGGGCGUAAAGCGAGCGCAGGCGGAAUGAUAAGUCUGAUGUGAAAGCCCACGGCUCAACCGUGGAACUGCAUCGGAAACUGUCAUUCUUGAGUGCAGAAGAGGAGAGUGGAACUCCAUGUGUAGCGGUGGAAUGCGUAGAUAUAUGGAAGAACACCAGCGGCGAAGGCGGCUCUCUGGUCUGCAACUGACGCUGAGGCUCGAAAGCAUGGGUAGCGAACAGGAUUAGAUACCCUGGUAGUCCAUGCCGUAAACGAUGAGCGCUAGGUGUUGGGGACUUUCCGGUCCUCAGUGCCGCAGCAAACGCAUUAAGCGCUCCGCCUGGGGAGUACGACCGCAAGGUUGAAAC
This 554-nucleotide ribosomal RNA is filed under the name uncultured bacterium. Its description in RNAcentral is "partial 16S ribosomal RNA". It matches the Rfam family "Bacterial small subunit ribosomal RNA", at positions 355 to 900 of the family's 1533-position model. The record is from RNAcentral.